AUUGAACGCUGGCGGCAGGCUUAACACAUGCAAGUCGAGCGGGGAGAUGUAGCUUGCUACAUAUCCUAGCGGCGGACGGGUGAGUAAUGCUUAGGAAUCUGCCUAUUAGUGGGGGACAACAUUCCGAAAGGAAUGCUAAUACCGCAUACGCCCUACGGGGGAAAGCAGGGGAUCUUCGGACCUUGCGCUAAUAGAUGAGCCUAAGUCGGAUUAGCUAGUUGGUGGGGUAAAGGCCUACCAAGGCGACGAUCUGUAGCGGGUCUGAGAGGAUGAUCCGCCACACUGGGACUGAGACACGGCCCAGACUCCUACGGGAGGCAGCAGUGGGGAAUAUUGGACAAUGGGCGCAAGCCUGAUCCAGCCAUGCCGCGUGUGUGAAGAAGGCCUUUUGGUUGUAAAGCACUUUAAGCGAGGAGGAGGCUCCUUUAGUUAAUACCUAAAGUGAGUGGACGUUACUCGCAGAAUAAGCACCGGCUAACUCUGUGCCAGCCGCCGCCGUAA
RNAcentral lists this ribosomal RNA (501 nucleotides) under uncultured bacterium. RNAcentral describes it as "partial 16S ribosomal RNA". It matches the Rfam family "Bacterial small subunit ribosomal RNA", at positions 30 to 523 of the family's 1533-position model. The record is from RNAcentral.